CAGUCGCCGCGGUAAUACGAAGGGGGCUAGCGUUGUUCGGAUUUACUGGGCGUAAAGCGCACGUAGGCGGACUUUUAAGUCAGGGGUGAAAUCCCGGGGCUCAACCCCGGAACUGCCUUUGGUACUGGAAGUCUUGAGUAUGGUAGAGGUGAGUGGAAUUCCGAGUGUAGAGGUGAAAUUCGUAGAUAUUCGGAGGAACACCAGUGGCGAAGGCGGCUCACUGGACCAUUACUGACGCUGAGGUGCGAAAGCGUGGGGAGCAAACAGGAUUAGAUACCCCGGUAGUCCCUGUCUCUUAUAC
RNAcentral lists this ribosomal RNA (301 nucleotides) under uncultured bacterium. Its description in RNAcentral is "partial 16S ribosomal RNA". It matches the Rfam family "Bacterial small subunit ribosomal RNA", at positions 509 to 807 of the family's 1533-position model. The record is from RNAcentral.